UUAAGUGACGAUAGCCUAGGAGAUACACCUGUUCCCAUGCCGAACACAGAAGUUAAGCCCUAGAACGCCUGAUGUAGUUGGGGGUUGCCCCCUGUUAGAUAUGGUAGUCGCUUAGC
Molecule: ribosomal RNA, 116 nt
Filed under: Streptococcus sp.
Lineage: Bacteria; Bacillati; Bacillota; Bacilli; Lactobacillales; Streptococcaceae
Also listed under: 2 other names
Source: RNAcentral